Molecule: unclassified non-coding RNA, 2601 nt
Filed under: Stegodyphus dumicola
Lineage: Eukaryota; Metazoa; Arthropoda; Arachnida; Araneae; Eresidae
Description: organic cation transporter protein-like, transcript variant X4
Source: RNAcentral
GCCAAAACGAAAUUAAUAGUCCUUCUGGCCAAAAUUCCCCUUUGGACUAAAAACUUCCUUUCGUUAUCUGUCUUCAAGAAUAUUCCUAAUAUCCUACAUCCUAGUGAUGCCAGAUGCACCUUUGCCGACAAGUGGUUUGUUUUGUGUCGGAUUGUUGAUAAGGGGAGGUCCCAUAACCGGCAGUUUAUGUGUGCGUGGAAAUAUGCCGGGUGAUUUAAAGUAGAUGUACUUAAUUUUUUUAUAAUUAAAAUAAAAAAACUGUGUUAAUCAUGGAUUUCGACUUAGUUUUGGAUUAUAUUGGUCAUUAUGGAAAAUUCCAAUGUUGCGUGAUGAUUCUCGCUGGCGUUGCUCAAAUAUUUGGAGGAAUGCAAAUGCAUUCAAGCAUCUUUUUAACUCCCAUGGACCAUCCGAAAAUAAAUUUUCAAAGAUGUUUUAUUCCUAAUUGUGAUAAUGGAACAACACAGUAUGAGGAGAGAUUUGUACAUUUUGCAGUGCCAAAUAUUACUGAUGAAUUUGGGAAUUCUGCUCCUAGUCCAUGUAUGCAUUAUGAAGCAAUUAAAGGUCAAGACUAUUGUGGUUAUGAGGCAUUUAACAGAAACAAAACUGUCUCCUGUCAGUCUUAUGUAUGGGAACAUACAGAAUUUCAAGAAACUGCCAUUUCUGAAUUUAGUAUAGUGUGCAAGAAAAGUUGGAAUGGAGCAAUGUCGAAUUCCAUAUUUAUGGUUGGAGUAUUGUUUGGAUCUGCUGGAUUUGGAGCAAUUGCUGACAAAUAUGGACGGAAAAAUGUCAUGAUGUCAGCUUCUUUAAUAAUGUUAGUUUCAUCAGUUGGCACAUCCUUUGCUCCAAGCUUUAAUGUAUUCUCAUUAUUACGCUUCAUCACUGCAGCUGCAGUAAGUGGACUUUUUCAAACUGGAUAUAUAUUAGCUGUAGAAUUCAUCGGAACUUCCAAGAGACUUAUAUGUGCUAACAUUAUGCAAAUAGUUUUUGCUGUUGGUGAAUUAAUUUUGGGAUUUAUUGCUUAUUUUGUAAGAAAGUGGAGAGUCUUAGAAUUGAUUAUAUCAGUACCAUCUGCUAUUCUAAUUGUAUAUUAUUGGUUUUUGCCAGAAUCUGUUAGGUGGUUAAUUUCUAAAGGCAAACACAAUAAGGCAAAGCAGACUAUAUUAAAAGCUGCUAGGUGGAACAAUGUUGCUGUACCUGAACAUCUGCUUAGAGCAUCUGAAUAUAGUAAUGCGGAUCCUGAAAUUGAUGAGCGACAACAGUCAAAUUCACCUAUGAACUUAGUGCGUACAUCUCAGAUGAGAAAAUGGACAAUGAAUAUUUCUUUUAAUUGGGUUGUAAAUGCUAUGGUUUAUUAUGGCUUAUCAUUGAGUGCUGGAAAAUUAAGUAAAAAUACUUAUGCCAAUUUUGCAAUAUUAGCUGCAGUGGAAAUCCCAGCUGUAUUUCUGGCUACUUGGGCUUUAUAUUAUUGUGGUAGGAGAAAUGUUUUAUGUUCUGUAAUGGUAUUUGGAGGCCUUGCUUGUGGGUCAACUGUCUUUGUUCCUCAAGCUUUAUCUUGGGUUGCAGUGAUGCUUGCAGUUAUAGGGAAGAGUGCCAUAGCUGCAUCUUUUGCCAUCAUUUACAUAUAUUCUGCAGAGAUUUAUCCUACUGUCCUGAGGAGCACAGGAAUAGGUUUUAGUAGCAUGUGUGGAAGACUUGGAGGUAUAAUAGCUCCAUUCAUCAAUGAAUUGAGGAAAGUCUAUAAUCCUUUGCCAAUGAUAAUAUUUGCUGUAGCAGCAAUUAUAUCUGGAUUACUGGCAUUGACAUUACCUGAAACCCACAACAGGCAGUUGCCUGAAUCUGUAGAAGAAGCAGAAGCCUUGGCUUCACCCAGAGGUGCUGGAUUUGAGAGACUAAUAUCCAGAGCGCGAAAUUUACCUAGAAUAGGUAGUACAUCGCCAAGAUCAUUAAGACGGGAUGUAGAAGAAAGGAGACGUCUGAUAAAUGCAUAAUUAUUGUGAACUACUUUAAAUUAUGUCAUUCAUCAUAAGCAUCUAAUAACACAAUUAAAUGUGUGACAUCGGUGGCACGUGCCGCCCGAUAAGACUGACUUUGCGGGCCACCGGUGGUACGUGCCGCCCGAUGAGACAGGCUAGUGUGGGCCACUGGUAUCCCAUGCCGACAUGAACGUGUUAAUUCAGCAUCAAUCUACAGUUACUUUUUUAUUUAACUUUACAUUGUACAUUGGCAUUUGAACAAGUAUUUUACCCUCUCGAUGAACUUCAUCACAUUUGAACUUUUUUACUUUCUUUUGUGAAGUAUAGUAAUCAUGGAAAAUUUAGAUAUCAUCUUUGAAUGAAAAUAUUCAUUUUGACCAUUUUCAAAUCCAUUUGGAUGAGUUUUGUGUAUGAUGUCUGUACGUAUGGACAGAAUAAAGGACUCUUUGUUUCAAAAAUAGCUUGUAAAAGGAUUCAAAAGGGUUUUAUUUUGACAUCUCUGCAUAUGUACAUAUGUAUAUCUCAUAUAAUUUAUAAACGAUUAGCCAUAGAACAUUCAAAUUUUGUAUAUGGGACUGCUAUAACAUUUAGUUGUGCAACUCCUCUUUUUAUUGCAAUCAGCAUACCA